GCGCGGGUGGCGGAAUUGGUAGACGCACUGGAUUUAGGUUCCAGCGCCGCAAGGUGUGCGGGUUCGAGUCCCGCCUCGCGCACCA
Molecule: transfer RNA, 85 nt
Filed under: Zoogloeaceae bacterium
Lineage: Bacteria; Pseudomonadati; Pseudomonadota; Betaproteobacteria; Rhodocyclales; Zoogloeaceae
Description: tRNA-Leu
Rfam family: tRNA
About the family: Transfer RNA (tRNA) molecules are approximately 80 nucleotides in length. Their secondary structure includes four short double-helical elements and three loops (D, anti-codon, and T loops).
Source: RNAcentral